This 100-nucleotide non-coding RNA is filed under the name uncultured Methanomethylophilus sp. RNAcentral's name for it is "Pyrrolysine insertion sequence mttB". It matches the Rfam family "Pyrrolysine insertion sequence mttB". Lineage: Archaea; Methanobacteriati; Thermoplasmatota; Thermoplasmata; Methanomassiliicoccales; Methanomethylophilaceae. The record is from RNAcentral.
UAGUCCGACGCCAAGAGGCCCAACGCACAGGCGGGACACGAGAAGACCAUCACCGGUAUGCUCCCGUCCCUCUCCGGUGCAUCGAACAUCUACGGGGCGG